CAAACCCAUGUUCUUUGAAAACAGAGUAGAGAGAUGUCUGCCUUAACCACGAAGGCAAAAUCCUGAUUUUUGUUCUUGUUGCAGAUGAAAUCGAAGAUUAAGAAACGGACGGCUCCUACGAGAACUCCGGCAGACUUGGUUGUCAAUGGCUUGCUGUUCCACCGGAGUUUUCCAACGUUGAGUGCCUUCACUUCUACAUCGAUCUAGGCAGAAGGUUCGGAUGGGAUGGGUCGAGGUCAUGGUACAACUAAUUGCAAGAUGGGUACACCGAAUUGAAGAAAGUAUCCAUGAACUUAGUUCUACAAGAUUAUUGUCGGCCAUAAAUAAAGAAGCAGCUGAUAAAGGGGAUCUACCAAACUUGCUCAUCAUUUCAAAUGGUCAAUUUCCAAAGAAUGAUUUUGUACUUGAAGAUGGGUUGAUGAGGGUAAAUGGGGGCAAGGCGAUUGUCCCAAAUGUGGUCAAGACUGUUGAAAUUGCUAGGCAGAGGGGCAUCCUCGUUGUUUGGGUCGUUCGUGAGCAUGACCCAUUGGGGAGAGAUGUUGAAUGCUUUCGUCGACACUUGUAUCCUCCCGGAAAAGUGGGUCCAACCUCAAAGGGAAGUGAGGGAGCAAAACUGGUUGAUGGCCUUGAGAUCAAAGAUGGGGAUUAUAAGUUGGUGAAGACACGGUUCAGUGCAUUCUUUGCUACUCAUCUUCAUUCAUUUCUCCAAAGUGCUGGGAUUGAUAGUUUAGUAAUUGUUGGUGUUCAGACUCCAAACUGUAUCCGGCAGACUGUCUUUGAUGCUGUAGCUCUGGACUAUGAAUCUAUUACUGUUCUUGUUGAUGCCACUGCUGCAGCUACACCUGAUAUACACAUCGGCAAACCCAUGGGCACUUAAAUGCGACCCGAACUGUAGUGAAAGCUAGCAUAAAGACUUUUGCCACUAUUAUAAAUUGUAUGGCAGACCUGAACACAUCCUAGAUAUGUCAUCAUCAUCAUCGAGCCUUUAUCCCAAACCCUAUCCUAGAUAUUUCAGUUCAACAAUUCCCGACUGCCUUAGAAACAAACAUAUUUGACAUGAAAAAUGUUGGCGUUGCAACACCAUCAAUAGAGGAAUGGUCUGAGGCUGAUGCCUGAAUCCACCUGUCGGAUCUACCACGCUAUGGCUCACGGUGAGGUUAGACCUUACCGUGAUUCUGGAAUGACUCAAUGGAUCAAAUGUGUAACAUACAUGUGAUAAUGAGCCAAGCAUUGCAGUUUGAUCAAUAUUUUUUGUACUAUGCUUUGUCAGCCCAAUACUAUCUUCAUUUCAGAUAGAGUGAUCUCGCAGUCUGAUAACUAGUAUACUGCUCCGAGAGAUUGAACCGAACAACAAAUUUGUUAUCAUUUUUAUUGCACUUCGUCUGUUCAUGCAUUUCCAUUGAAAAUUUGAAACUGUGCGAUGUAAUCAUGACAUGGCAUUUGUGUUGUAUACUGGCUUGCUUGCAGUU
RNA transcript from Tripterygium wilfordii, 1469 nucleotides. It is a transcript of the gene named probable inactive nicotinamidase At3g16190, with no coding region annotated. Lineage: Eukaryota; Viridiplantae; Streptophyta; Magnoliopsida; Celastrales; Celastraceae. The transcript has 6 exons. The record is from RefSeq and is a predicted model, not a curated record.